RNAcentral lists this ribosomal RNA (292 nucleotides) under uncultured bacterium. RNAcentral's name for it is "partial 16S ribosomal RNA". It matches the Rfam family "Bacterial small subunit ribosomal RNA", at positions 773 to 1060 of the family's 1533-position model. The record is from RNAcentral.
GUGGAUUAGAUACCCCGGUAGUCCUGGCAGUAAACGGUGCACGUGUGGUGUGGGAGGAUUCGACCCCUUCCGCGCCGGAGCUAACGCGUUAAACGUGCCGCCUGGGGAGUACGGUCGCAAGAUUAAAACUCAAAGAAAUUGACGGGGGCCCGCACAAGCGGUGGAGUAUGUGGCUUAAUUCGAUGCAACGCGAAGAACCUUACCAGGCCUUGACAUGCAUUUCUAAGUUGGUGAAAGCCAGCGAGUCCCGAAAGGGACAACUUGCACGGGUGCUGCACGGCCGUCGUCAGCU